UGCGGGAUCGUCUAAUGGUAGGACAACGGACUCUGAAUCCGUUUAUCUUGGUUCGAAUCCAAGUCCCGCAGCCA
RNAcentral lists this transfer RNA (74 nucleotides) under Candidatus Gottesmanbacteria bacterium RIFCSPHIGHO2_01_FULL_39_10. Its description in RNAcentral is "tRNA-Gln". It matches the Rfam family "tRNA". From Rfam's summary of the family: Transfer RNA (tRNA) molecules are approximately 80 nucleotides in length. RNAcentral also lists the same sequence under 2 other names. Lineage: Bacteria; Candidatus Gottesmaniibacteriota. The record is from RNAcentral.